GUUGGGUAGGGGAGCGUUCUGUAAGCCUGUGAAGGUGGCCUGUGAGGGUUGCUGGAGGUAUCAGAAGUGCGAAUGCUGACAUAAGUAACGAUAAAGCGGGUGAAAAGCCCGCUCGCCGGAAGACCAAGGGUUCCUGUCCAACGUUAAUCGGGGCAGGGUGAGUCGACCCCUAAGGCGAGGCCGAAAGGCGUAGUCGAUGGGAAACGGGUUAAUAUUCCCGUACUUGGUGUUACUGCGAAGGGGGGACGGAGAAGGCUAUGUUGGCCGGGCGACGGUUGUCCCGGUUUAAGCGUGUAGGUGUGUGUUCCAGGUAAAUCCGGUUCACUUUAACACUGAGGCGUGAUGACGAGGCACUACGGUGCUGAAGCAACAAAUGCCCUGCUUCCAGGAAAAGCCUCUAAGCAUCAGGUAACAUCAAAUCGUACCCCAAACCGACACAGGUGGUCAGGUAGAGAAUACCAAGGCGCUUGAGAGAACUCGGGUGAAGGAACUAGGCAAAAUGGUGCCGUAACUUCGGGAGAAGGCACGCUGACACGUAGGUGAAGUGAUUUACUCAUGGAGCUGAAGUCAGUCGAAGAUACCAGCUGGCUGCAACUGUUUAUUAAAAACACAGCACUGUGCAAACACGAAAGUGGACGUAUACGGUGUGACGCCUGCCCGGUGCCGGAAGGUUAAUUGAUGGGGUCAGCGCAAGCGAAGCUCCUGAUCGAAGCCCCGGUAAACGGCGGCCGUAACUAUAACGGUCCUAAGGUAGCGAAAUUCCUUGUCGGGUAAGUUCCGACCUGCACGAAUGGCGUAAUGAUGGCCAGGCUGUCUCCACCCGAGACUCAGUGAAAUUGAACUCGCUGUGAAGAUGCAGUGUACCCGCGGCAAGACGGAAAGACCCCGUGAACCUUUACUAUAGCUUGACACUGAACAUUGAGCCUUGAUGUGUAGGAUAGGUGGGAGGCUUUGAAGCGUGGACGCCAGUCUGCGUGGAGCCGACCUUGAAAUACCACCCUUUAAUGUUUGAUGUUCUAACGUGGACCCGUAAUCCGGGUUGCGGACAGUGUCUGGUGGGUAGUUUGACUGGGGCGGUCUCCUCCUAAAGAGUAACGGAGGAGCACGAAGGUUGGCUAAUCCUGGUCGGACAUCAGGAGGUUAGUGCAAUGGCAUAAGCCAGCUUGACUGCGAGCGUGACGGCGCGAGCAGGUGCGAAAGCAGGUCAUAGUGAUCCGGUGGUUCUGAAUGGAAGGGCCAUCGCUCAACGGAUAAAAGGUACUCCGGGGAUAACAGGCUGAUACCGCCCAAGAGUUCAUAUCGACGGCGGUGUUUGGCACCUCGAUGUCGGCUCAUCACAUCCUGGGGCUGAAGUAGGUCCCAAGGGUAUGGCUGUUCGCCAUUUAAAGUGGUACGCGAGCUGGGUUUAGAACGUCGUGAGACAGUUCGGUCCCUAUCUGCCGUGGGCGCUGGAGAACUGAGGGGGGCUGCUCCUAGUACGAGAGGACCGGAGUGGACGCAUCACUGGUGUUCGGGUUGUCAUGCCAAUGGCACUGCCCGGUAGCUAAAUGCGGAAGAGAUAAGUGCUGAAAGCAUCUAAGCACGAAACUUGCCCCGAGAUGAGUUCUCCCUGAGACUUUAGGUCUCCUGAAGGAACGUUGAAGACGACGACGUUGAUAGGCCGGGUGUGUAAGCGCAGCGAUGCGUUGAGCUAACCGGUACUAAUGAACCGUGAGGCUUAACCUUACAACGCCGAAG
This 1737-nucleotide ribosomal RNA is filed under the name Salmonella enterica. RNAcentral describes it as "bacterial LSU rRNA". It matches the Rfam family "Bacterial large subunit ribosomal RNA", at positions 1223 to 2925 of the family's 2925-position model. The record is from RNAcentral. Lineage: Bacteria; Pseudomonadati; Pseudomonadota; Gammaproteobacteria; Enterobacterales; Enterobacteriaceae.